RNAcentral lists this ribosomal RNA (430 nucleotides) under uncultured bacterium. RNAcentral describes it as "bacterial SSU rRNA". It matches the Rfam family "Bacterial small subunit ribosomal RNA", at positions 354 to 796 of the family's 1533-position model. The record is from RNAcentral.
GUGGGGAAUAUUGCACAAUGGGCGCAAGCCUGAUGCAGCAACGCCGCGUGAGGGAUGACGGCCUUCGGGUUAUAAACCUCUUUUAGUAGGGAAGAAGCGUAAGUGACGGUACCUGCAGAAAAAGCACCGGCUAACUACGUGCCAGCAGCCGCGGUAAUACGUAGGGUGCAAGCGUUGUCCGGAAUUAUUGGGCGUAAAGAGCUCGUAGGCGGCUUGUCGCGUCUGCCGUGAAAACCCAGGGCUCAACUCUGGGCGUGCGGUGGGUACGGGCAGGCUAGAGUGCGGUAGGGGAGAUUGGAAUUCCUGGUGUAGCGGUGGAAUGCGCAGAUAUCAGGAGGAACACCGAUGGCGAAGGCAGAUCUCUGGGCCGUAACUGACGCUGAGGAGCGAAAGCAUGGGGAGCGAACAGGAUUAGAUACCCUUGUAGUCC